AGUCUGAUGUCAGUCUGACAGCGAUUUGCCAUCGUUCUGUCGGUCUGAUAUCGGUCUGC
Molecule: microRNA precursor, 59 nt
Filed under: Oreochromis niloticus (Nile tilapia)
Lineage: Eukaryota; Metazoa; Chordata; Actinopteri; Cichliformes; Cichlidae
Description: microRNA oni-mir-10631 precursor
Source: miRBase by way of RNAcentral